GGGGUCGGCUACAGGAGCGCUAGGAGCCUAGGAGUGGAACACGAUUUCCUCGAAUCUAGCCGAGGCCUCUGCUUUUUUCGUCAUCUUCCAUCGGUCCAAGCUGCUAUUGUUCGCUCCGUCGGCUUGCAGUUGCUUCUGGAGCGUGCUUCAGAUUCAUUGUGCCUCCUUCCAAUGUGCUAAGAAAACUUGAGGUUCAUGAUUUGCUCUUGGAUCAAACUGAAAAUUAAUUUCAGUUGAAGAAUUAGUAGCAUGUAUCCUCUGAUUACCAACAGGGAAGAACUGCUCCAGUCGAAGAGCAGACAUUAUUCAUUGUGCCAACAGACUGCCUGGAAAGGAAGAAAUCGUAUGAAGUACAUCAGCACCCAUCUUAUCACCAGUUGGGGGAUUGUUUUUUCUCUCCUCGUCAACAAAGCUUGCAUCAGGCGG
RNAcentral lists this ribosomal RNA (426 nucleotides) under Triticum aestivum (bread wheat). Its description in RNAcentral is "partial small subunit ribosomal RNA". The record is from RNAcentral. Lineage: Eukaryota; Viridiplantae; Streptophyta; Magnoliopsida; Poales; Poaceae.